This 263-nucleotide ribosomal RNA is filed under the name uncultured bacterium. RNAcentral describes it as "partial 16S ribosomal RNA". It matches the Rfam family "Bacterial small subunit ribosomal RNA", at positions 793 to 1055 of the family's 1533-position model. The record is from RNAcentral.
GUCCACGCCGUAAACGAUGAAUGCCAGUCGUCGGGUAGCAUGCUAUUCGGUGACACACCUAACGGAUUAAGCAUUCCGCCUGGGGAGUACGGCCGCAAGGUUAAAACUCAAAGGAAUUGACGGGGCCCGCACAAGCGGUGGAGCAUGUGGUUUAAUUCGAAGCAACGCGCAGAACCUUACCAACCCUUGACAUGGAUAUCGCGGACCUGGAGACAGGUCUUUCAGUUCGGCUGGAUAUCACACAGGUGCUGCAUGGCUGUCGU